UACGUAGGUGGCAAGCGUUGUCCGGAAUUAUUGGGCGUAAAGCGCGCGCAGGCGGUCUCUUAAGUCUGAUGUGAAAUCUCGCGGCUCAACCGUGAGCGGUCAUUGGAAACUGGGAGACUUGAGUGCAGAAGAGAAGAGCGGAAUUCCACGUGUAGCGGUGAAAUGCGUAGAGAUGUGGAGGAACACCAGUGGCGAAGGCGGCUCUUUGGUCUGUAACUGACGCUGAGGCGCGAAAGCCAGGGGAGCAAACGGG
RNAcentral lists this ribosomal RNA (253 nucleotides) under uncultured bacterium. RNAcentral describes it as "partial 16S ribosomal RNA". It matches the Rfam family "Bacterial small subunit ribosomal RNA", at positions 524 to 776 of the family's 1533-position model. The record is from RNAcentral.